UGAGAAAUGGUGUCCAGAUACUA
This 23-nucleotide non-coding RNA is filed under the name Arabidopsis thaliana (thale cress). The record is from RNAcentral. Lineage: Eukaryota; Viridiplantae; Streptophyta; Magnoliopsida; Brassicales; Brassicaceae.